RNAcentral lists this ribosomal RNA (253 nucleotides) under uncultured bacterium. RNAcentral describes it as "partial 16S ribosomal RNA". It matches the Rfam family "Bacterial small subunit ribosomal RNA", at positions 524 to 776 of the family's 1533-position model. The record is from RNAcentral.
UACGGAGGGAGCUAGCGUUGUUCGGAAUUACUGGGCGUAAAGCGCGCGUAGGCGGCUUUGUAAGUUAGAGGUGAAAGCCCGGGGCUCAACCCCGGAACAGCCUUUAAGACUGCAUCGCUAGAAUCCGGGAGAGGUGAGUGGAAUUCCGAGUGUAGAGGUGAAAUUCGUAGAUAUUCGGAAGAACACCAGUGGCGAAGGCGGCUCACUGGCCCGUUACCGACGCUCAGGCGCGACAGCGUGGGGAGCAAACAGG